UUUCCGUAGGUGAACCUGCGGAAGGAUCAUUAUCGUACAAAUUGUGAGGGGCAUGCGAGGGCUGUCGCUGACCCAAAAGUCGUGCACGCCCGAGUGUGUCCUCUUGCAUAAUAAUCCGUCUCACCCUUUGCGCCUCACCGCGUGGGCACCCUUCGGGAUCAUCUCGGAGGGGGGCUCGCGUUUUCACAGUAACCCCCCUUUUAAAAGUUUAGAAUGACCACAUUUAUGCAAUCAAUACAACUUUCAACAACGGAUCUCUUGGCUCUC
RNAcentral lists this unclassified non-coding RNA (267 nucleotides) under plant metagenome. RNAcentral describes it as "partial contains small subunit ribosomal RNA, internal transcribed spacer 1, and 5.8S ribosomal RNA". The record is from RNAcentral.